UCAAGUGCGGCAUUGCCCCUUGGCCGAGAGACCCGGUUUCUUGCGUUGCGUACCCACACGAUGCCGUGGCAUCUGUUCUUGUCCCAACGACCCUCGCUCGUCUAGUGCCCCCCCGUGUCUUCCUGGCGGGGGGGGCGGGGGGCACGAGGCGAAACCUGUGGCUUGUUCCGUCACCCACGUCGCGUCCGGCUGUCGUGGUGAACGGGGCACUGCUUAAGCUCUCGGAUACGGAAAGCAUGGAGGGAUCAUUGACAUCUCGUCCUCGCCCGAGGAUGCAUGAGAUGGACCCCGACGCCGGUGCACGACCGUCGCUCCCGCCUCGGUUCGGCCGUGCGGGCAGGACGUCGUUGAGGAAUGCUACCUGGUUGAUCCUGCCAGUA
This 380-nucleotide unclassified non-coding RNA is filed under the name Cynanchum callialatum. RNAcentral describes it as "contains 5' external transcribed spacer, ETS". The record is from RNAcentral. Lineage: Eukaryota; Viridiplantae; Streptophyta; Magnoliopsida; Gentianales; Apocynaceae.